UCCACCUUAGCUCAGUUGGUAGAGCGCGACACUAGUAAUGUCGAGGUCAAUAGUUCGAGUCUGUUAGGUGGAA
This 73-nucleotide transfer RNA is filed under the name Cutaneotrichosporon oleaginosum. RNAcentral's name for it is "Trichosporon oleaginosus tRNA". It matches the Rfam family "tRNA". Rfam says of the family: Transfer RNA (tRNA) molecules are approximately 80 nucleotides in length. Their secondary structure includes four short double-helical elements and three loops (D, anti-codon, and T loops). The record is from Rfam by way of RNAcentral. Lineage: Eukaryota; Fungi; Basidiomycota; Tremellomycetes; Trichosporonales; Trichosporonaceae.